UUGGACUGGCCAAAAAGCUCAUCUGGCUUUUCCGUAACAGCACAUGGAAAAACCCGAACGAACUUUUUGGCCAGCCCA
Molecule: microRNA precursor, 78 nt
Filed under: Ovis aries (sheep)
Lineage: Eukaryota; Metazoa; Chordata; Mammalia; Artiodactyla; Bovidae
Description: miRNA (ENSOARG00000021456.1)
Source: RNAcentral